GGAAGACAAACCACUGGUAGUAUCUAAACAGAAGACAGAGGUGGUAUGCGGUGUGCCCACCCAGGUGGUCUGCACGGCCUUCAGCAGCCACAUCCUGGUUGUGGUGACCCAAUUCGGGAAGAUGGCCUCUCAUCCAUGUCUUUGCAAAGAACCUGGUAGCAUUCGUGUCUGAAGAAGCAGGAGACAGAGCCGUCCUCCUGGCCAUGGCUGUGAAGGAGAAGAACAUGGAGAGGCUGAAGGCCUUGAAGGAGGUGAUCCGGCUGUGCCAAGUGUGGUGACCCGCAGUCAGCAGUGCAAGACGCUCCAACAUGGCGGACUCUCUGUGAGCGAGGUCUUGGAACCUGUCUUUCCAGCACCAGGACAGAGCUCCUUCUCUGCCGUUAGCCCUCGAAGCUGGAAACAGCCUUCUAGUCCCAGGGCAGUCUCCCUGCAUGGCUACUGUGUUCUGCCUGGGGUACUGGAAACGGUUCUGGGCUGCAGCAGGUGCAUCCACUGAGUGGAAAUAGCGGCCAGUUAUGGGGACUGGUAACCCCGGGUGUGCGGCAGCACUUGUGGGAAGACUUUUUUAUUAAAAAUAAAUCUAAAGU
RNAcentral lists this long non-coding RNA (587 nucleotides) under Rattus norvegicus (Norway rat). RNAcentral's name for it is "long non-coding RNA NONRATT007319". The record is from RNAcentral. Lineage: Eukaryota; Metazoa; Chordata; Mammalia; Rodentia; Muridae.